UUAUAUUUGCCGGAAUGCCGAACAAUGCUAUUAUGCAAGUCGAACGCUUUUUCUUUCACCGGAGCUUGCUCCACCGAAAGAAAAAGAGUGGCGAACGGGUGAGUAACACGUGGGUAACCUGCCCAUCAGAAGGGGAUAACACUUGGAAACAGGUGCUAAUACCGUAUAACACUAUUUUCCGCAUGGAAGAAAGUUGAAAGGCGCUUUUGCGUCACUGAUGGAUGGACCCGCGGUGCAUUAUCUAGUUGGUGAGGUAACGGCUCACCAAGGCAACGAUGCAUAGCCCACCUGAGAGGGUGAUCGGCCACACUGGGACUGAGACACGGCCCACACUCCUACGGGAGGCAGCAGUAGGGAAUCUUCGGCAAUGGACGAAAGUCUGACCGAGCAACGCCGCGUGAGUGAAGAAGGUUUUCGGAUCGUAAAACUCUGUUGUUAGAGAAGAACAAGGAUGAGAGUAAAAUGUUCAUCCCUUGACGGUAUCUAACCAGAAAGCCACGGCUAACUACGUGCCAACAGCCGCGGUAAUACGUAUGUGGCAAGCGUUGUCCGGAUUUAUUGGGCGUAAAGCGAGCGCACGCGGUUUCUUAAGUCUGAUGUGAACGCCCCCGGCUCAACCGGGGAGGGUCAUUGGAAACUGGGAGACUUGAGUGCACAAGAAGAGAGUGGAAUUCCCUGUGUAGCGGUGAAAUGCGUAUAUAUAUGGAGGAACACCAGUGUGCGAAAGCGGCUCUCUGGUCUGUAACUGACGCUAAGGCUCGAACGCGUGGGGGAGCGAACAAGAUUAUAUACCCUGGAUAGUCCACCCCCGUACACGAUGAGUGCUCAAUGUUGGAGGGUUUCCCCCCCCUCAUUGCUGCAGCACACGCAUUACGGACUCCGCCUGGGGGAGUGAGACCGCAGGGUAGACACUCACAAGGAGUUGAAGGGUGUGCCGCUCACAACGCUGGUGGAGCGUGUGGUUUAAUUUAUUAGCAACGCGAAGAACCCUCACCAGUCUCGACAUCCUUUUCGACACUCAACAAAUAGCACUUCCCCUUUCUGGGGCAAAGAUGGACAGCCGGUGGAGAGGAUUGUCGUCAGCUCGUGCUCCUGACGAUGGUUGGGAUUAACUUCCCUCAAGCAGCGCAACCAUUGAUUGUUUAGUUUGUCGAUCAAUUCAUCGGCUCACUUCAUGCGAGAACUGCCGGUGACGACCUGAUGAAGUAGAAUGACGUCCAAUCAUCAUGCUCCGUGACGACUGGUCUUAACGAACGUUUGUCUGUACAG
This 1269-nucleotide ribosomal RNA is filed under the name Enterococcus gallinarum. RNAcentral's name for it is "partial 16S ribosomal RNA". It matches the Rfam family "Bacterial small subunit ribosomal RNA", at positions 30 to 1237 of the family's 1533-position model. The record is from RNAcentral. Lineage: Bacteria; Bacillati; Bacillota; Bacilli; Lactobacillales; Enterococcaceae.